RNAcentral lists this ribosomal RNA (222 nucleotides) under Bacillus sp. EBR2R28. RNAcentral describes it as "partial 16S ribosomal RNA". It matches the Rfam family "Bacterial small subunit ribosomal RNA", at positions 1184 to 1410 of the family's 1533-position model. The record is from RNAcentral. Lineage: Bacteria; Bacillati; Bacillota; Bacilli; Caryophanales; Bacillaceae.
GCGAGAACAUCUUCCCGCUUAUGACCUGCGCUACUCACGUGCUACAAUGCACACAACAAAGGGCAGGGAUACCGCGAGGUUACGUCAAUCACACAAAUCAUGUCAGUUCGGAUAGCACUCUGCAGCUACACUGGAAGCUGGAGUCGCUAGUAAUCGAGUCUCAGCGCGCCGGGGUGAAUACGUUCACGGGCGUUGUACACACCGCCCGUCACACCACGACAG